RNAcentral lists this ribosomal RNA (450 nucleotides) under uncultured bacterium. RNAcentral's name for it is "partial 16S ribosomal RNA". It matches the Rfam family "Bacterial small subunit ribosomal RNA", at positions 338 to 795 of the family's 1533-position model. The record is from RNAcentral.
CCUACGGGUGGCUGCAGUGGGGAAUAUUGGACAAUGGGCGCAAGCCUGAUCCAGCAAUGCCGCGUGUGUGAAGAAGGCCUUCGGGUUGUAAAGCACUUUUAUCAGGAGCGAAAUCUGCAUGCUUAAUACGUGUGCAGUCUGACGGUACCUGAGGAAUAAGCACCGGCUAACUUCGUGCCAGCAGCCGCGGUAAUACGAAGGGUGCAAGCGUUGAUCGGAAUUACCGGGCGUAGUGCGUGCGGUCGCGGGUGAAAUCCCCGGGCUCAACCUGGGAAGGGCGAUGGAUACUGGCGAGCUAGAGGGUGUCAGAGGAUGGUGGAAUUCCCGGUGUAGCGGUGAAAUGCGUAGAGAUCGGGAGGAACAUCAGUGGCGAAGGCGGCCAUCUGGGACAACACUGACGCUGAAGCACGAAAGCGUGGGGAGCAAACAGGAUUAGAUACCCCUGUAGUC